CGAUAUCGACGAGUUUAUCAUGGCUCAGAACGAACGCUGGCGGCAGGCCUAACACAUGCAAGUCGAGCGCCCCGCAAGGGGAGCGGCGGACGGGUGAGUAACGCGUGGGAACGUGCCUCUUGCUACGGAAUAGCCUCGGGAAACUGGGAGUAAUACCGUAUGUGCCCUACGGGGGAAAGAUUUAUCGGCAAGAGAUCGGCCCGCGUUGGAUUAGGUAGUUGGUGGGGUAAUGGCCUACCAAGCCGACGAUCCAUAGCUGGUUUGAGAGGAUGAUCAGCCACACUGGGACUGAGACACGGCCCAGACUCCUACGGGAGGCAGCAGUGGGGAAUCUUAGACAAUGGGCGCAAGCCUGAUCUAGCCAUGCCGCGUGAGCGAUGAAGGCCUUAGGGUUGUAAAGCUCUUUCAGUGGGGAAGAUAAUGACUGUACCCACAGAAGAAGACCCCGGCUAACUCCGUG
This 460-nucleotide ribosomal RNA is filed under the name uncultured bacterium. RNAcentral describes it as "bacterial SSU rRNA". It matches the Rfam family "Bacterial small subunit ribosomal RNA", at positions 1 to 507 of the family's 1533-position model. The record is from RNAcentral.